AAAAGUCUAAGUGCAGUUUUA
RNAcentral lists this microRNA (21 nucleotides) under Monodelphis domestica (gray short-tailed opossum). RNAcentral describes it as "mdo-miR-7262b-5p". Lineage: Eukaryota; Metazoa; Chordata; Mammalia; Didelphimorphia; Didelphidae. The record is from miRBase by way of RNAcentral.